UCAACCUACGGGACGCAGCAGUGGGGAUAUUGGACAAUGGGGGGAACCCUGAUCCAGCGACGCCGCGUGAGUGAAGAAGUAUUUCGGUAUGUAAAGCUCUGUCAGCAGGGAAGAAAGAAAUGACGGUACCUGACCAAGAAGCCCCGGCUAACUACGUGCCAGCAGCCGCGGUAAUACGUAGGGGGCAAGCGUUAUCCGGAUUUAUUGGGUUUAAAGGGUGCGCAGGCGGUCUGUUAAGUCAGCGGUCAAAGCCCGGGGCUCAACCCCGGCCCGCCGUUGAAACUGGCAGUCUCGAGUUGGAGAGA
This 305-nucleotide ribosomal RNA is filed under the name uncultured bacterium. RNAcentral describes it as "bacterial SSU rRNA". It matches the Rfam family "Bacterial small subunit ribosomal RNA", at positions 332 to 655 of the family's 1533-position model. The record is from RNAcentral.